This 408-nucleotide unclassified non-coding RNA is filed under the name Ctenomeria capensis. RNAcentral describes it as "partial external transcribed spacer". Lineage: Eukaryota; Viridiplantae; Streptophyta; Magnoliopsida; Malpighiales; Euphorbiaceae. The record is from RNAcentral.
CAUGCUUACGCAUCGAACUGUUGAAUCACAAUCUCUUCAAUCCAAAGCUCAUGUCCAAUGUUUUGCGUCAUGGGCGAAGGUGGAGUUCCUGUGUUGCAUACCCAUGAAAGUGGAAAUCGAUUAUGUUGCUGUUUGAUUUUCGCCUCAUACUUGUUAAGGGUAUGUGGUGAACAUGGAAGCACCUCUUUUGUUCCAAACACGUUGGUUUAACUGUUAUGGCACAUUAGAAGGUCGCUCGUGUUAUGGGAUGCUGAAAACGUGUUGUAGCUCAGAGGGAUCGAAUCCCUCCAUUGCUCAAAAUGUCCCUAAUAUAUGAACGACGCACAAUGCUUGUUUCUAUUCCUCGAACAUGCUACAAUGUUGGUGUGUUGGGGGAUUGAAGCGGGUGUUGAGCUCGUGAAGGAACGC